Molecule: RNA transcript, 1380 nt
Organism: Panicum hallii
Lineage: Eukaryota; Viridiplantae; Streptophyta; Magnoliopsida; Poales; Poaceae
Exons: 4
Source: RefSeq, a predicted model, not a curated record
CAAGCCGGAAGGAGCGCCGCCGCUCGCCUCGGCACCGCGCGUGGAUCGUGGCUACGAAGCAUGAAGGAAAUUCUUUGAUUCUAUCCCGGCCGGAAGGAAACAAAAGUAUCAUCCGUCCCAAACGAAACGAAGGGCUUGGAUGCAAAAUUUGUCAACCUGGUCCUUAACCCUUAGCCGUCGGAUCAGAGGUGUGCGGCAGAGAUUGAUCGUAACCACCCCCUCUUCCCUCUUCGCUGUGCGCAGAGCCCGGACCGGCCGCGCCCGCCGCCCGCCGUUGCUCUCCCUGACCUCACCGAGCGUCCGGCGCGGCCGCCCUUCCCCCUCGUGUGGGUCCUUGAGCUGCUCACCGCUCGUCGACCAGUCGUCCCUCGUCUGGUCUCGGCCGAGGAAGGUCAGGCGGCAGCGAGGGGAAAGAGGGAGCGAGAUGCCGCACCGGGCGCGGCCGAUGACGGGGCUGCUGGUGUUCAUGGGCGUCAACCUCGUGCUCGUCAGCACCAUCUCCCCCGUCUACGACUUCGUCUGCUUCCACCCCUACUGGGAACGAAGGAGAGAACGCCGCCGGAGGGAACGUGAAGCUGUGCAACUGAGGGGUUCUCUAAAAACUACUAAUUGAGUUUGCCUAGUAUAUCAAACAUUCUCCUCAUCAGUGGCUGUCUCAAGUACCAAACUGCUUCUUGUACAAUCUAGGGAAUUGUUCAUUUCAACAGCCGUUUCGUUUACAAAAGGAAAGAUUCGCCUAUUUUAUCUUGUUCUUGUGAUGAUAUGGGAUCUGUUUUUUUUUCCAUGAUGCUCCCUCAAAUGUAUCAUCUGUUCUUUUUUUUUUUGCAAGGAUGAAUGAGAAGAAUAGAUGGCAUGAGUAGUCUUUCUGAAAUACGCACUUUCUGAAUCUACCGUCGUAUUCUUCUGCAUCUAGCUGCACUCUUUCAAAAUUUAUGUUUGGUUUAGGACUUCUGGAGCUGAAAGUAUGCAUUCUCGCUCAAUAGCACAAUGCACACAGCCAUGGAUGAACUGAAUCGAAAAAGACUACGUCUCGCCUCUUCUUGUUGUUCAGUGGAUCAGCACCAGCUGUCCCUCUCCUCAUCAUCGCCACAAACUCUGAAUAAUCUAUCCUUCCAUCCUACAUGUGCAGAAGUAAAUUUUAGUCUCUUGAUUUAAGGGAAUAAAAACAUAUUCAAUCAAUACGAGGAACCAUUAAAUUUUCAUAGUAUUUGUUCCUUACAUUGUCAGAGUCGGCAUCUGAAAUGACCUCUUUGAUUUUAUCGGCAUCAUACAACCCUUGCUCCUUCAAGGCGUGCUCAAGCUCCUCUCUUGUAAUGUACCUGUGAGAUAAAAGAAGUAAAUGUGUUAUAAGAUAUCUGUACUCAAGAAUUCAGGAUCUCA